RNAcentral lists this transfer RNA (73 nucleotides) under Marmota monax (woodchuck). RNAcentral's name for it is "tRNA.Val". It matches the Rfam family "tRNA". From Rfam's summary of the family: Transfer RNA (tRNA) molecules are approximately 80 nucleotides in length. Their secondary structure includes four short double-helical elements and three loops (D, anti-codon, and T loops). Lineage: Eukaryota; Metazoa; Chordata; Mammalia; Rodentia; Sciuridae. The record is from RNAcentral.
UGAAGAUGUAACUCAGUGGUAGAGUGCUUGCCUGACAUGCACGAGGCUCUGGGUUCCAUCCCUAGCACUAUAA